This 27-nucleotide non-coding RNA is filed under the name Homo sapiens (human). Lineage: Eukaryota; Metazoa; Chordata; Mammalia; Primates; Hominidae. The record is from RNAcentral.
UAAGGAUUGCUACUCUUUGAUGUGUCC